UUUGUACAAUGCUUCAAUGCCAUUUGUAGAUGUGCAAGUUGUAGGGACAGGAGGAUCCAAUUGCUAUCCUUAAAGUUAAAGUGGAUCUGAGGGGUGUAGGGUAUAAAAUAGUGUGUGAACGCUUCUCCUCCUAUAUGGCUUAUCAGAGUUCAUGUCUAUCUUCCUGCCCAUGCUUUCUCCUCCAUACUAUUCAAUACAUUAAGGGGGAUGUUUCCUAUAUUUUACGAAUUAAUUGGUUGAUUGACAACAAACUUGGUACAGUUGUACAGCAUAUAUAAGGAGUAGAUGACCCCUAUUGAUUCUUAGGUCACAUGGUCAGUCCACUCUUGACAUAGGAAGGUAUUGUCUGCUCAAUAUUUUGAAUUGGUGUAACUACUAUCAAUUAAAUGAGGCACGGGUAUAACCCUUUCAAUUUUGCAACUUGGGGGGCAUAUGUGUUUUAGAAACAUCUCUUGUGUUGAAUUAUAUGAAUUACAGUUUUUAGUGUGCUCAGUUUAGAGAAUAGCAUAAAAGUAUUUGAUAAUUAAAUAUCUUGCAGAUUGGCAGUUUACUCCAUGCACCGACAGGAAUGAUAAACUGUGAUAUUCGUAAAUGGAACUGGGACACGUUCUAAAUAUACUCAGGGACAGAAUGAUGUGCAGCAAGGCUCGUCAUGGAUUUUACCAAAUACAGAACACUGCAAGGCUUGCAAAAUGAAGACCUCAAAUGGCAGCUCACUACCUGCCCCUUGUGAUGUUAAAAGAGGCCGUUGUUCUCAUUUGUUCCAAAACAGGAAUGGCAUAUGAGGAGGCCAACAGAAGAUGCACCUCCACUGACCUCCACGGAGUGUGCACUCACAAAACGAAUAAAUUAUUAUUUCUUUUGUUUGUAAUUGUAUAUUGUCAACAAGGUCAAAGGCACUUGAUCCGAUGCCAAACUUUUGCAUUUCUUUUGCUUUGUGGUAAAUUUUCUUCAGCAACAUUAACAUUGUUUAAAUUGUUUUCUUUGGAGAGUUUACAUGUACACAUGGAUCAUUUGUAUAUUAGAAUUAUAGCAUUGUUUAAUUCAACUCAUUCUUAUCAUAGAGGUUAUUAUAUACUGCAGGCAACGACUUGUAAAGGGUAUACUGUUUUAACUUACAUGCAAAGCAGUAUUAUGAAACUCUGUAGUUGAUAAGGACAUAUAUCACAUAUCGAUAUGCAUAUUUACAGGAAACUCUGAUGUAUUUUAAAUCUGAACGUUAAUUUAAAAGUGGGGAGAAAUAGCAUUGGAUGAAAAAAGACACAUAUGAAGAAAAUUAUUCCAUACGUAAAUACUUUUUAUCUCACCAGAGCUGAAAGCUCAAGUGAGCUUUUCUGAUCGCCUGUUGUUCAUUGUCUGUCCGUGAUUAAACAUUUUAUAUUUUCUCCAGAAGCACUGGGCCAAUAAUAACCAAACUUAGCCAAAAGUAUCCUUGGGUAAAGGGCUUUCGAGUUUGUUCAAAUGAAGGGCCAUGCCCUCUUCAAAGGGGAGAUGACCACAAAAAUAGGGUGGGUCGUUUAAUUUGUUUAUCAAGAACCAUUGGGCCAGAAGAGCUGAAAUGUACAUGAAAGCUUCCUGACAUAGUACAGAUCCAAGUUUAUUGAAAUCAUGGCCUCCAGGGGUUGUAUGGGGCCACAAUAGAGAAUCAAAGUUUUACAUACAAUUAUUCAGGAAAACUUUCAAUAUGAGCCAAGGUGGCUCAGGUGAGCGAUGUGGCCCAUGGGCCUCUUGUUCAACAUAUAGAAUAAAUAGUUAUGUUGUAUUUCCCAUGGAACAUUGAAACGUUUAAUGCGUUUACCAAUUAAUCACUGAAAGAAAGAUAAAAUUGUUGUUUCAUAUGUUUUAUGAAAACUUAAAGAUGUUUCAUUUCUUUUCAUGAAAGACCCCUUAAUUACCCAGUAAUAAAUAAUCAAUUCUUAACAGAUUAUGUAAAUUUGAUUUAUAUUAAGGAUGUUUGAUCUGAUUACCCAUCAUUAUCAAUCUGUCUAAUAUGGCCAUCAUGUGUUACUAUUAAUUGCUACGCAAUCUUGGAGCAUGAGGUAGAAUGCGAGCCAGCUCUUUCAUAAGUACAUGUAUCUGGAAAAUAUUUCAAUGUCAAAGGUUACAACAAUGUGAUAAUUUAAUCAUUGUAUGUCUAAGGUGUUGAUAAUAAAACUGUUAUCUGUUCAA
Ostrea edulis (European flat oyster) is the source of this 2169-nucleotide long non-coding RNA. RefSeq lists it as uncharacterized. The record is from RefSeq and is a predicted model, not a curated record. NCBI's taxonomy places the organism in Eukaryota, Metazoa, Mollusca, Bivalvia, Ostreida, Ostreidae. The transcript is spliced from 4 exons.